UUUUGCUUCUCUUCUGUUCAUUCCAACAGUUUCCUCAGUGUUCAUUUGCAGCUCCAAGUUUUCUCAAGGUAACAUAACAUUAUUAUCACUUUUGUACCAAAGGGAGGGUGAAUUGGAAACAAAAUAGCAAACACAUCAGCAAACUAUUCAACAUCAUUAUCAUCAUUUUCGUUAUCAAUAUCAUCACAAAUUUGCUUAAUAAAUUGGAAAACCAAAAACUGUGUUCUCUUCAAAAAUAACUUUACACUCCCAGUGUUUGUGUUUAUCAGCUCAAAAUGGACCAGCAAAUGAAUUUACUGACAAUGUUGACUUGAUUAAAGUUUUCAAAUGAUCAAAAACUAAUCCAAAUAAUUUACCAUUUAAUUGUCACUUACCAUUGAGAAAUUCAAUUGUGAACCAAUUCUAGUGAUUUACAAUUCCAUCCAAUCGAAAUAUUUUUUUGUUCGUAAAAAUUGUUAAAGGUGAACAAGCAAUUUUUAAUCAUCAUUUCGAGAUAAAUUGAUUUCCAGCAAUUGCAAAUGUGAAUUUCAAACUUGCAUCUUUCAUCAAUAAAGUGUUAAUCGGAUAUCAGUUUAUUCACUUCAAUUGCCAUCAACUUGAUCAAGAAAAAGCUCAAGAUUGAACCUUAUUUUGCUGUUGGUUUCAAAAUUUCAAUCUUUUUCUUGUUCCAUCAAAUUGGAAAAGGAAAAGGCGUAAAAUAAUUGGUGAACAAAGUGGGUGAAGUUACGUUGAUAUAUUGCUCUCAGGAAAGAGUGAAAAUUGUGAGUGAAAGGGUGAGAGGAAGAGUGAAGGAGGAGGAGGAGGAGGAAGGAAGAAAGUGAAAGUGGAAUUGGAAAGGGAAGAAAAGCCGAAAAAGAAAAGGAAAAAGAAGACGAAAACGAAACACAAAACGAUUCCUUUUUUUCAUGGGCAAUGAUUCUUCGAUUUCUCUCCUUGAUAUUUUGCUAUGAUAUAUCAUACAAGAUUGUUUUAUCUCAAUAUGUUGCCACUUUAGGUGGAAUCGUUGCCUUCUCAUGUAACGUCUCCGGUUGGGGUGACGAUACUGUUAGCUUAAUGUUAUUUUACAAGGAUGGACUUAAAGUGCCUUUUUACAGUCUUGAUGCUCGUGAAGUGCCCUUUCUACAAGCCAAAAGGUUCGGUAAUGAUACCCGGAUGUACCUCAAUGAGACAACCUCACCGCCUUCCCUUAUCAUUGAAUCUGUAAAGAUGGAAGAUGAAGGAGAAUAUCGGUGCAGAGUUGAUUUUAGAGAUGAUAAAACUCGAAAUUCACUAUUUUCACUUAAAGUUGUUCAUAAACCUAAAGUUUCAGUAAACCUUGGUGCCAAUUUGAAUGCGCAAAAUAUCAGGGAAGGAAUCGAUGUAAUCCUGGAAUGUAAUGUAACUGCUAGUCCGUCAGUUUUUGAGAUAACUUGGACUUUUAAUGAUAAGUCCGUCAUUAGUAAUCUUUCUGAUGGGCUCAUCGUGUCGGGCAACUUUCUUGUCCUGCAAAAGGUUAAGAGGUCACAUCGUGGUAACUAUCAGUGCAUUGCUGUCAAUUCAGUUGGAGAAGGUCGAAGUAAUCAUUUUUUCCUUCGAGUUCAAUUUGCUCCAAUUUGUAAGCCUGAUCAACAAUUAGUCUAUCCUAUUGGUGCCAGUGAGGAAGCUUUGAUAAGCUGCUCGGUUGACGCUGAUCCACAGCAGAUAUCAUUCAAAUGGUUCUUGAACAGUUCAACAACCAAUUAUGGGAUCAACAAUUAUACCGUUAACGAGACAACAAGUCACAUACUUUAUUCACCCAAAAACAGAUAUGGUUAUGGGUCAAUUUAUUGUACUUCAUCCAAUCCAAUUGGACACCAAAAGGAUCCCUGCUCAUUCAACAUAAUCCCUCCAGGUGUUCCAGAAAAGGUUGAAAAUUGUACAAUGAAGAACCACUCGUUGACUGGUUUACUGGUUGACUGUGCUGCUCCGUUGAACGGAGUAUCGAUGCCAAUAUACAUUAUCGAAGUUUUCAAAGCGAAAACUCGAGAGAAAAUAUUAAGCCUUACUAAUCGAGAUCGUCCAACCUUUAUACUUCAAGAUUUGUCUCCACAAGAUUAUUAUGAUUUGUUUGUUUACUCUAAGACUACUGGAGGUCAAAGUGAUCCAGUUUCCUUGAAGGCAAGUCUAUCACCAUCGCCAAUGACCCAUAAUCAAAUGAAACAAGAUAUAACCAGGGAGGAAACUUACAGUCCUUUGUUGGUCAUAUUAAUGGCCAUUGUUGGAAUCAUCCUUUUCAUUAUUAUCAUGAUUAUAUUGGUUAUAAGAAUCAAAUCACAUCGUGUUGAGGUUACAGACAGAAGACAGGUUGGACCUUCAACUGGUUAUUAUGAUGAAUCAAAGUCAUAUCCAAGAAUUACUCAGAAAGAGAAAAGCCUUUUAGAUUUAGUUAAUAUCGACAAAAGCCUUUCAAAUGGUGACAUCUCAUGUUUCCAAACUCCUUACGAUUAUCAUAAUAUUAAGCAAACAAUUGAGAUGACAUUAAAGCAAAAUAAACUUCCAGUUAAUGCACGAUCCAUUCAUCAACCAGACAGUCCAAUAGAUAAAUCAUAUCAAUUAUCUUCUUCAUCGCUCAAAGCAACUCUAUCUGAUGAACAUGUUCGUCUACGAAAUUUAUCUACUUCUUUGGAAGAUAAUGGUGAAAAGGAAUCAAAAUUAUCGUUGAUAAGUGAAACUUGUAAUCAACUUUUAAUUGAUUCUGUAACUGCUGCCGAUUGUUCAGACAACGAGCUUAUCACUGAUACAAGUUUAAUGAAAAACAUCCGAAUCUCUUGUGAUGGAAGUGAAGUAACAAUUUCAUUUCAACUGCCCAGGGAUCAACUCAGUCCAUUGGCAAUUGUUGAUAACAAAACAACUUUGGUUUAAUAAUAUAGAUAAAUAUAUCAGUAUAAUUAUGGAGUAAAUAAAAUUAUUCAUUUUUCACUUUCUGGUCCAAUGUUUAUAAUAAAUUUAUCCAACAUUUCAAAAAACAUCAUCAUCAUCAUCAUCGAGGCUCAUAUUCAACACGAUUCUCAACUCAUUCAAUGAACAAACGUAAACAGCUUAACAAGUUUAACCACAAUUUCAUUUACUUUAAUCUGUCCAUUGCUUUGGGCUUGGUAAUACACUGAAAAUGCUUGUAAAUUGAGAAGAAGAAGGAAAUAUAUUUUUCUUUUUACCUUUAUUUUCUUCUGUUUCAUCUUUCUUUUUUUCAUUUCACCAAGAAAAUUUUUCAUUUCUCAUUCCCUUCAAUUGACCAUGAGACUUUAAUGAUACUCAAAGGAUUAAACUAAAUUUAGUUUGGAAGAUAAUCAGAGAAGAGCGAAACGAAAAUCUCCAACAAAAAGAAACAAAGUGUACACUUUAUUCACUCAACAUUCCCAUAAUCAUAAAGAGUUGAAAAGUUCAAUCCUGAGUCUGAAAAUGAGUAGCUCGAGAAGUUGGAUGAAGCCACAAAUGAGAUUCGAAAUAUUGUUUGAAUAUUUUUCUUUGUGAUUUAACUCUGUGAUAAAAUGAUCCAUUCAAUAUUAUGUAAAAAAAGACUUUUUUAAUUGUAAAACAUUAAACAACAAAUCAAUCCACUGACCAUUGGCCCUAAUUAUUUCCAGUCAUUUUCAAAGGUUUAGGUUUAGGUUUGGAUUCAAUCUGAAUCAAUUGUUGGUUCAACUCAUUACCUUGUUUUGAAAAAGAUACAAAAUUUUCUUGCCUUGUUCAACUUGACUUGACUAAAGGUUUACAAAUAAACAAAAUUUUUGUAUCAUAUUAGGCCUGUUAUUAUUAUUAUAGCAUUAUAUUAUUAUUAUAUCCAUAUUUCUG
RNA transcript from Tetranychus urticae (two-spotted spider mite), 3810 nucleotides. RefSeq lists it as uncharacterized. Lineage: Eukaryota; Metazoa; Arthropoda; Arachnida; Trombidiformes; Tetranychidae. The record is from RefSeq and is a predicted model, not a curated record.